This 705-nucleotide long non-coding RNA is filed under the name Homo sapiens (human). Its description in RNAcentral is "novel transcript". The record is from RNAcentral. Lineage: Eukaryota; Metazoa; Chordata; Mammalia; Primates; Hominidae.
UUACAUAAUCCAGUUUAUGGCUAUUUAUGACCUACGACCCUGGUUGUCUACACCAGAGACAAUAACCAGCUGUCCACUUGGAUUAGAGUAUUUGCAUCAGAUAAAUCAGUUAACAGUGUGUCAACAUUUUGAUCCUCUGGGAGUCCUCAGAAAAUUUGAAACUAGUAAAACGUAUGAAAUCUUGAACAAUCAAGGACAGAGAAUUUAUUUUGCAGAAGAGAGAAAUAAUUGCUUCCUUCGACACCUUUGUGGAUUUUCAAGCCCUUUUACUAUGACAAUUUAUGAUAAUGUAGGUAGAGAUGUACUUGCUCUGCAUAAGGCUCUGAAAUGUAGCUUACAAAAGUUAUUGACUCUGGAUGAGGAAAUGGUUAUUGGAAAGAUUUCAAAACAGUACUCUGGAUUUGUAAGGGGAAUAUUAACCAAUGGUGAGAAAUUUGGGAUCCAGUUUCCAUUUGAUCUUGAUGUUAAAAUUAAAGCAUUGAUGCUUGGAGCAACUUUCCUCAUUGAAUACAUGUAUUUUGAACUGUGGCCAUAAGAAUUACCCUGAAAGAAUAUGUCAGAGAUUACUGGCAUUUAUUUUUGCCAGCCCUCAACAAAACUAAGCAACUUUCACUGAAAAUAUCUAAAUAAAGUUUUAUUUUACUAAAACUAUUCAUAUAUAUUCUUUCUGCCUAAUAAACUACAUCAAAAAUGUUUAACUUCAAA